CCUGCGGAGGGACAUUA
Molecule: ribosomal RNA, 17 nt
Filed under: Ustilago tritici
Lineage: Eukaryota; Fungi; Basidiomycota; Ustilaginomycetes; Ustilaginales; Ustilaginaceae
Description: partial 18S ribosomal RNA
Source: RNAcentral